RNAcentral lists this ribosomal RNA (99 nucleotides) under uncultured bacterium. RNAcentral's name for it is "partial 16S ribosomal RNA". The record is from RNAcentral.
CUUCGGCCCGUAAACCCCUGUCAUUUGCGAACAAACCUUUCCAUUUAACAGACGGAAAAUUGAUUGUAGCAGAAGAGGAAGGGACGGCUAACUCUGUGC